GAUGAACGCUAGCGGCAGGCCUAAUACAUGCAAGUCGAACGAGAUUAAGAGGCUUGCUUCUUAUGAAAGUGGCGCACGGGUGCGUAACGCGUACGCAACCUACCUUAAUCAGGGGGAUAGCCCGAAGAAAUUCGGAUUAAGACCGCAUAAAAACACAGGAUAGCAUUAUCCAAUGUUCAAAUAUUUAUAGGAUUAAGAUGGGCAUGCGUGUCAUUAGCUAGUUGGCGGGGUAACGGCCCACCAAGGCGACGAUGACUAGGGGAUCUGAGAGGAUGACCCCCCACACUGGUACUGAGACACGGACCAGACUCCUACGGGAGGCAGCAGUAAGGAAUAUUGGUCAAUGGAGGGAACUCUGAACCAGCCAUGCCGCGUGCAGGAAGACAGCCCUCUGGGUCGUAAACUGCUUUUAUUCGGGAAUAAACCUUUCUACGUGUAGGAAGCUGAAUGUACCGAAGGAAUAAGGAUCGGCUAACUCCGUG
RNAcentral lists this ribosomal RNA (482 nucleotides) under uncultured bacterium. RNAcentral describes it as "partial 16S ribosomal RNA". It matches the Rfam family "Bacterial small subunit ribosomal RNA", at positions 28 to 507 of the family's 1533-position model. The record is from RNAcentral.